AUGCUUAAUGAUAGAAUAAACACAAGUGAUCUCUUAACUCGAAAGAGCAUGCAACUUGAUUCCACUACAUGUGUGUUAUGUAAUGCAGAAGAUAUGGAAGACAGAACUCACCUCCUUUUCACUUGCCCAUUCAGUCAAGGUUUUUGGUGGAAUAUUGGUUUUGAAUGGAAUUCUGACUUGGAUAUUCACAAUAUGAUCAUGGAUGCCAAUCACAGAUACAAAAUCAAACAUUUCAUGGAAAUUAUGAUAGUGGGGUGCUGGAGCAUUUGGAAUCAAAGAAAUGGGAUGAUAUUUGAUGGGAUACCUUGCUCAAUCAAUGAAUGCAAGUAUGAUUUUAUCAGAUCUUUCAAGAUUACCAUGAUGAGAGCUAAACCAUCUCUGAAAGAUGGCAUGUCAUCCUGGAUUGACAAUAUUUAA
Molecule: ribosomal RNA, 417 nt
Filed under: Triticum aestivum (bread wheat)
Lineage: Eukaryota; Viridiplantae; Streptophyta; Magnoliopsida; Poales; Poaceae
Description: partial small subunit ribosomal RNA
Source: RNAcentral